This 1416-nucleotide long non-coding RNA is filed under the name Rhinopithecus bieti (black snub-nosed monkey). RNAcentral's name for it is "lncRNA (ENSRBIG00000045239.1)". Lineage: Eukaryota; Metazoa; Chordata; Mammalia; Primates; Cercopithecidae. The record is from RNAcentral.
CUGGGGUGGACUCCUGAGGCUUGCAGCCACGCGGAGCUCGCUGCCGCUGUUGUAAGCUGAUUGUCAUUGUCAGCACGUUCUUCCUUCUAGAAUCCACCAGUUGAGCCUGAGGGGAGACUGGUUUGUGUCCUAGAAGAACCGGGUGCCUUCGCCCUAACCAUCAAGGUCGGCGUUACUUGAGGCGUUCUGAGCCCUUCAGCCUUCCCGUGCCAGCUGUGCAGUGAUGGCGUCCCCUGGUGUCCCAGGAAAGAGGUGCAGCUGCCGUAAGUGCAGCUCUUUUAAGGCAGAGAGAAGUAUUUCUGCCCCCCCAAUUCCCAAAUUUACUCCUCCUUGGACCAGCCAGUCCACUUACCUCCACUCAUUUAGGCGUUUGUUCUUCAUUUUAUUCAUUCAUCUGUUUGUUCAUUCAAGCACCCGCUGCGUUCCGGGUACCGAGUUUGACCCUGGAAGUACACAGAUAGAUCCUGCCCAGGCUUUAGCAUCAAGGAGCCCUCAGGCUGAUGGAGGCACAGGCUCUCAUACCACAGCAGGAUCUCCGCCUCCUGAAGGGACUGAGCUCUUCCCUCUGGACCUGCAGAGGAAGAAAAACUGCUUUGUGUGAGCCCAGACUCCCUAACUCCAAGAACAGUGCAAUUUUCCCAAUCCCAUAUUGAAUCGAGAACUGCAUUUGCCAGGAUGGGCAGCUCAGUUAAGACAUCCCUUCAGAAUACCAACUCCUUCCGCUCUCAUUCCAUUCCUCCAAGGAACCUCUGACCUGUCAAUUAUCCCCCAAAAAUCUGUUAUCCCCCAAUGCACUAUUCAGAACUCUUUCACUCUUUGUUCCUUCCUUCAUUUAAAAGUAACUUUGCUUUCUUUCACUUAGUGUGGCAGAAAAACAAAUACUGCAUGCUCUCAUUUAUACAUGGAAUCUGAAGUAGUCAAACUCACAGAAGCAGAGAUUAGAACAGUGGUUCCUAGGCAGUAAGGGGAGGGGAAAAGCAGGGAGAUGUCAGUCAAAGGGUACAAAGUUUCAGUUAUGCAGGAUGAAUAAGUUCUAGAGAUCUAAUGUGCAGCAACAAUGUGACUGUAGAUAACAAUGUGGAUUGUAUACUUGAAAUGUGCAAACAUUAGCUUGACUGUGGUGGUUAUUUCACAAUAUAUACCUAUAUCAAAUCAUCACAUUGUACCCCUCAAAUACGUACAAUUUUAAUUGUCAAUUAUAUGUCAGUAAAGUUGGGUAGGGGGAACUUUGAAUUACAGCCCAGGAGUUGCAAUAGACUGAUGUUCUAGGCUAUGACCUUCCAUCCUUCUAUCCAUCUCCUCUCCUUUCCAUCCAUCCGUUCUUCCUUUCAUCUAUCCUUGCACCUAUCCAACUACACAUCCAUUCUCUUAUUCAUGUCAUCCACUCACUAAUUAUAGAAUUACCUGAGUGCCCAC